AUUGAACGCUGGCGGCAGGCUUAACACAUGCAAGUCGAGCGAGCGGCGGACGGGUGAGUAAUGUCUGGGAAACUGCCUGAUGGAGGGGGAUAACUACUGGAAACGGUAGCUACUACCGCAUACCAUCAGAUGUGCCCAUAUGGGAUUAGCUAGUAGGUGGGGUAAAGGCUCACCAAGGCGACGAUCCCUAGCUGGUCUGAGAGGAUGACCAGCAACACGGGAACUGAGACACGGGCCAGACUCCUACGGGAGGCAGCAGUGGGGAAGAUUGGACAAUGGGCGCAAGCCUGAUGAAGCCAUGCCGAGUGUGUGAAGAAGGCCGUCGGGUUGUAAAGCACUUUGAGCGGGGAGGCGUUACUCGCAGAAGAAGCACCGGCUAACUACGUGCGAGCCGCGGCGGUAAUUC
RNAcentral lists this ribosomal RNA (406 nucleotides) under uncultured bacterium. RNAcentral describes it as "partial 16S ribosomal RNA". It matches the Rfam family "Bacterial small subunit ribosomal RNA", at positions 29 to 526 of the family's 1533-position model. The record is from RNAcentral.